Molecule: long non-coding RNA, 476 nt
Filed under: Mus pahari (shrew mouse)
Lineage: Eukaryota; Metazoa; Chordata; Mammalia; Rodentia; Muridae
Description: lncRNA (MGP_PahariEiJ_G0005335.1)
Source: RNAcentral
GUGAGGUGACCAGUCCUCUGUGAGUUGUCCUGUUUUUUGUGAGGUUUCCAGGGCUCUGUGAAAUGAUCAGGUCUCUGUGAGAUGACCCAGUCCUCCUUGAGGUGUCUCAUCCUCUGUGAGGUGACAAGGCCUCUGUGAUGUGACAAGCCCUCUGUGAGUUGACCAGUCCUCUGUGGAGGCGUACCUUCUUCCCCAGCUGCUGUUCUGUUCCAAAGGACGAUGCUGGCAAGUCCCAAACCCUCUCCAGCUAUCAUGAUGAACACCUUGCAGAAGAAAGAAGUCUGGAGCAGAGAAAGAUGACUGGAUGGGGCAGCUGGGAAGGGCUCUUACCACCAAGUCAUAAGGCCCAACUUUGAUCCCUAAAGCUCACACAGCAAAGGAGUGGGACAGCUCCUGAAAGCUACCCUCUGACCUCCACCUUAUGCCUCCUUCACAAAGAAACAAAUCAAGAUAAAUAAAUAAAUGUAUGCAGUUUA